This 1268-nucleotide small RNA is filed under the name Pongo abelii (Sumatran orangutan). RNAcentral's name for it is "retained intron". The record is from RNAcentral. Lineage: Eukaryota; Metazoa; Chordata; Mammalia; Primates; Hominidae.
AGUUCCUCAGCCUCAGUGCUGUGAAGGUGACAGCGUGAGGUGACCCAGCUGGCCCCCCGCGAUGCUGGCAGCACGGCGGCUGCUCGGCUGGUCGCUUCCCGCGCGGGUAUCUGUGCGUUUCAGCGGUGACACGCACCCAAGAAAACCUCAUUUGGCUCGCUGAAGGAUGAAGACCGGAUUUUCACCAACCUGUACGGCCGCCAUGACUGGAGGUGAGACAGUGCCCUUAGUGUGUUGGGUCCCGGAGCAAGGCAUCCCCUUCACUGCCUUCCCUAUUCUGUACAGGCUGAAAGGUGCCCUGAGUCGAGGUGACUGGUACAAGACAAAGGAGAUCCUGCUGAAGGGGCCCGACUGGAUCCUGGGUGAGAUCAAGACAUCGGGUUUGCGGGGCCGUGGAGGCGCUGGCUUCCCCACUGGCCUCAAGUGGAGCUUCAUGAAUAAGCCCUCAGAUGGCAGGCCCAAGUAUCUGGUGGUGAACGCAGACGAGGGGGAGCCGGGCACCUGCAAGGACCGGGAGAUCAUACGCCAUGAUCCUCACAAGCUGGUGGAAGGCUGCCUGGUGGGGGGCCGGGCAAUGGGCGCCCGUGCUGCCUAUAUCUACAUCCGAGGGGAGUUCUACAAUGAGGCCUCCAAUCUGCAGGUGGGCAGGGAGAGACGUGGACAGAUGAGAAGGUGCUCAGUGUGCACUCACACACCCCUCACCCAGCACAGUCGUUCUGAGGUGUUAGUACCUGGUCUCUCAGUGGUUGAACUGGGGGAGUGGUGGCCAGUCCUGCAUGCAUCCCAGAUGGGACUUGGCUCCCAAAGCCUCCUUCCAGGGCUCCUAAUGCUGCUGGUGUAAAUUUUUUUGCUUCAAAAAUAUAGUAUUUUUUAUAAUAACAAGUAGUAAGAAGAAAAAACCUAAGUGAAACUACGUGUUUAGCAAGAGAGCUGAAUAAUUGUGAAUAUAAACAAUUCUUAUUUGGAGAAAUUACAUUAUGUUCAUUGCUUGGAACUAUGAAUUAUACUUAUAUCUGUAGGAAAUAUAGAAAAAUAAAAUAGGUUAAGGCAAUAAGGAUAUAGGCAAUUACAUUUUUAUUUUAAUUUUAUAAAGACUUUUAUUUUUCCUCACAGACUAGGGUAGUUAGGAGACCUGAUAAUAGCUACUUCAUUUUUAUUUUCCUGGCAGCAAAGCAGCUUACUUACGUAUUCCUUCUUGCUUAUCUGUUCCAGAUCAUAGUCAAGUUUUCCAAUUCGUUUUACUAAGCUAGAAAAAUUUUUUAUACCAG